RNAcentral lists this ribosomal RNA (394 nucleotides) under uncultured Lactobacillus sp. RNAcentral's name for it is "bacterial SSU rRNA". It matches the Rfam family "Bacterial small subunit ribosomal RNA", at positions 148 to 524 of the family's 1533-position model. Lineage: Bacteria; Bacillati; Bacillota; Bacilli; Lactobacillales; Lactobacillaceae. The record is from RNAcentral.
CCUGGGAAACAGAUGCUAAUACCGGAUAACAACAGAUGAUGCCUAUCAACUGUUUAAAAGAUGGUUCUGCUAUCACUCUUGGGAUGGACCUGCGGUGCAUUAGCUAGUUGGUAGGGUAACGGCCUACCAAGGCGAUGAUGCAUAGCCCGAGUUGAGAGACUGAUCGGCCACAUUGGGACUGAGACACGGCCCAAAACUCCUACGGGAGGCAGCAGUAGGGAAUCUUCCACAAUGGACGCAAGUCUGAUGGAGCAAACGCCGCGUGAGUGAAGAAGGGUUUCGGCUCGUAAAGCUCUGUUGCUGGUGAAGAAGGACAGGGGUAGUAACUGACCUUUGUUUGACGGUAAUCAAUUAGAAAGUCACGGCUAACUACGUGCCAGCAGCCGCGGGUAAU